RNAcentral lists this ribosomal RNA (341 nucleotides) under Arion subfuscus. RNAcentral describes it as "eukaryotic LSU rRNA". It matches the Rfam family "Eukaryotic large subunit ribosomal RNA", at positions 1 to 333 of the family's 3401-position model. The record is from RNAcentral. Lineage: Eukaryota; Metazoa; Mollusca; Gastropoda; Stylommatophora; Arionidae.
UCCGACCUCAGAUCGGACGAGAUUACCCGCUGAAUUUAAGCAUAUAACUAAGCGGAGGAAAAGAAACUAACAAGGAUUUCCCCAGUAACGGCGAGUGAAGCGGGAAGAGCCCAGCACCGAAUCCCUCAGUGUCACGCUGACGGGAACUGUGGUGUGUGGGACGCCACCAGCUGCAACAGAGGGCGCCGAAGUCCUCCUGAUCGGGGCUUCACCCAGAGCGGGUGUAAGGCCUUUGCAGGUGCCUCUCUGUGCGGCCGCGAGCGUCUCAGGAGUCGGGUUGUUUGGGAAUGCAGCCCAAAGCGGGUGGUAAACUCCAUCUAACGCUAAAUACUUGCACGAGU